UGAUAAUUAGUUUAAUAAAAACAAAUGAUUUCGACUCAUUAGAUUGUAAGCCACAUUGCAAUUAUCAA
Molecule: transfer RNA, 68 nt
Filed under: Aonyx cinereus (Asian small-clawed otter)
Lineage: Eukaryota; Metazoa; Chordata; Mammalia; Carnivora; Mustelidae
Description: tRNA-Arg
Rfam family: tRNA
About the family: Transfer RNA (tRNA) molecules are approximately 80 nucleotides in length. Their secondary structure includes four short double-helical elements and three loops (D, anti-codon, and T loops).
Source: RNAcentral